Molecule: unclassified non-coding RNA, 2812 nt
Filed under: uncultured Bordetella sp.
Lineage: Bacteria; Pseudomonadati; Pseudomonadota; Betaproteobacteria; Burkholderiales; Alcaligenaceae
Description: partial 16S-23S ribosomal RNA intergenic spacer
Rfam family: Bacterial small subunit ribosomal RNA (bases 1310-2812)
Source: RNAcentral
CGCCCUGGAACAGGUGUUUAGCCACUUUGUUACGACUUCAACCUGUCAUGAACUACCGUGGUACGCCCUCCCACGGCCCAGGCUAAUCCACUCUGGUAAAAGUCCAAUUUCCAUGGUGUGUGAUAGCGGUGUGUCAAGACCCCGGGGAACGUCGCGACAUGUUGAUCCGCGAUUACUAGAUUCCGGACUUCACGCAGUCGGCCAGACUGCGAUCUGGACUAUGACAGCCUGGGAUUACUCGCGGGCUGGCGACCUCUGUCCCGACCAUUGUAUGACGUGUGAAGCCCUACCCAUAAGGCCAUGAGGAUUUGACGUCAACUCAAUUCUCCUCCUCCCGGUUUGUCAAAUGGCAGUCCAUAUGCCCUUUCGUAGCAACUAAUGACAAGGGUUGCAGGCUGCGGGACUAACCUGACCAUCUCACGACACGAGCGACGAUAGUUACGUAGCACCUGUGUCUGUUCUUCACUCAGUCUUCUUUCUGACUCCGGCACAUGUCAGCGCGUGUUUUUCGCAAGCUGCAUCGAAUUAAUUCAAUAUCAUCCAAUGCUUGUGUAACUCGUCAAUUUCCCUUUGAGUUUUGAGCGAUCGUACUUGCGCAACAACUCACGCGCUUUCGCGCCGCGCCACAGCAGUUCAGGGGCUGCCUCAACAGCUAAAGGACAUCGUUUAGGCGUAAAUUACCAGGGUAUUUGCCUAAUCUUGUUCUCGCUUUCGGCUGACGCGUUAUCCCAGAGCUGCUCUCGCCACGGUGGGCCCUCCGCAUGAUUUUGCCAUUAGAAUCUCCCACUUUCCGACACACCCCUUAGCUCGGCAGUUGUGUACGCAGUUCCAAAGCUGGCUCUGAUUUCACAAUCUUCUUCGACACGUUUUUCAUCUGCACCCUGACAACGGCGCCGCCGGCACGGGAGCACGGCGCCAUUCUGCAGGCGGUCGUUGGACGUAUUGCCCCGGGUGCCUCUGCCAAAAGUGCUUACGUCCCAGCGAACACGCGGGACGGUUGAUCAGGUUCUUCAUUGUCUGUAAAUUCUCCUCACUGGCUGUCUUUCCCCGGACUCCGGGCCGCUCGUCUGCAGGCUGAGCAAGUCCUUUCAAACCAGCUACUACGGACGUCGCCUACACCCCAGCUUUCGAAGGGUACGCAUGCGGUAGCAUUACGCUUUCGCGUAGUUAACUCGCUAGCACGUUCCGAUACAUUCAUUACUUCCGUUUGCCACGCUGGCGCCACCAGCUGCUGUUUUGACUUGCAUGUGGGGUACGCAUGGCGCUGUUGAAGAUGAUCGAACUCUCUGCUCUCGCCUGAUGCUCCCAGGUAACAGAGAGUUCGAUCAUGGCUCAGAUUGAACGCUGGCGGGAUGCUUUACACAUGCAAGUCGAACGGCAGCACGGACUUCGGUCUGGUGGCGAGUGGCGAACGGGUGAGUAAUGUAUCGGAACGUGCCUAGUAGCGGGGGAUAACUACGCGAAAGCGCAGGCCUAAAUACCGCACACGUUCUUCGGGGGAAAGCGGGGGACCUUCGGGCCUCGCACUAUUAGAGCGGGCCGAUACUGAUUACUAGUUAAGCAGGGGUAACGGCUCACCAAGGCGACGAUCCGUAGCUGGUUUGAGAGGACGACCAGCCACACUGGGACUGAGACACGGCCCAGACUCCUACGGGAGGCAGCAGUGGGGAAUUUUGACAAUGGGGGAAACGCUUGAUCCAGCCAUCCCGCGUGUGCGAUGAAGGCCUUCGGGUUGUAAAGCACUUUUGGUGCAGGGAAAGAAACGGCACGGGAUAAUACCCCGUGCAACUGACGGUACCUGCAGAAUAAGCACCGGCUAACUACGUGCCAGCAGCCGCGGUAAUACGUAGGGUGCAAGCGUUAAUCGGAAUUACUGGGCGUAAAGCGUGCGCAGGCGGUUCGGAAAGAAAGAUGUGAAAUCCCAGAGCUUAACUUUGGAACUGCAUUUUUAACUACCGAGCUAGAGUGUGUCAGAGGGAGGUGGAAUUCCGCGUGUAGCAGUGAAAUGCGUAGAUAUGCGGAGGAACACCGAUGGCGAAGGCAGCCUCCUGGGAUAACACUGACGCUCAUGCACGAAAGCGUGGGGAGCAAACAGGAUUAGAUACCCUGGUAGUCCACGCCCUAAACGAUGUCAACUAGCUGUUGGGGCCUUCGGGCUCCUGGUAGCGCAGCUAACGCGUGAAGUUGACCGCCUGGGGAGUACGGUCGCAAGAUUAAAAACUCAAAGGAAUUGACGGACCCGCACAAGCGGUGGAUGAUGUGGAUUAAUUCGAUGCAACGCGAAAACCUUACCUACCCUUGACAUGUCUGAAUCCUGAAGAGAUUUGGGAGUGCUCGCAAGAGAACCGGAACACAGGUGCUGCAUGGCUGUCGUCAGCUCGUGUCGUGAGAUGUUGGGUUAAGUCCCGCAACGAGCGCAACCCUUGUCAUUAGUUGCUACGAAAGGGCACUCUAAUGAGACUGCCGGCGACAAACCGGAGGAAGGUGGGGAUGACGUCAAGUCCUCAUGGCCCUUAUGGGUAGGGGCUUCACACGUCAUACAAUGGUCGGGACAGAGGGUCGCCAACCCGCGAGGGGGAGCCAAUCCCAGAAACCCGAUCGUAGUCCGGAUCGCAGUCUGCAACUCGACUGCGUGAAGUCGGAAUCGCUAGUAAUCGCGGAUCAGCAUGUCGCGGUGAAUACGUUCCCGGGUCUUGUACACACCGCCCGUCACACCAUGGGAGUGGGUUUUACCAGAAGUAGUUAGCCUAACCGUAAGGAGGGCGAUUACCACGGUAGGAUUCAUGACUGGGGUGAAGUCGUAACAAGGUAA